Molecule: long non-coding RNA, 226 nt
Filed under: Elaeis guineensis (African oil palm)
Lineage: Eukaryota; Viridiplantae; Streptophyta; Magnoliopsida; Arecales; Arecaceae
Description: long non-coding RNA (EGUI_LNC062649)
Source: RNAcentral
GUAUUUUGUUCAAAAUAUACGCUGCAAUCUGGAGAGUAAAUCCCUAGAAGAAGAUCGAAAGAUCCAUGAAGUAUAUCAUGGACCGCACCAUAUCUAAUAAGAUAUGAUUCUUCCUUUCCAUAAUGUCAUUUAAUUAUGGAGUGUAAAUAGAUAUCCAUUCUAAGAGAAUUUUAUUAUUUUUAAGAUGAUCAAAAAGUUCACUAGUUAAGUAUUCAUCUCCUCGAUC